UACGGGGGGGGCAAGCGUUGUUCGGAAUUACUGGGCGUAAAGGGCUCGUAGGUGGCCAACUAAGUCAGACGUGAAAUCCCUCGGCUUAACCGGGGAACUGCGUCUGAUACUGGAUGGCUAGAGUUUGGGAGAGGGAUGCGGAAUUCCAGGUGUAGCGGUGAAAUGCGUAGAUAUCUGGAGGAACACCGGUGGCGAAGGCGGCAUCCUGGACCGAGAUUGACGCUGAGGCGCGAAAGCGUGGGGAGCAAACAGG
This 253-nucleotide ribosomal RNA is filed under the name uncultured bacterium. RNAcentral's name for it is "partial 16S ribosomal RNA". It matches the Rfam family "Bacterial small subunit ribosomal RNA", at positions 524 to 776 of the family's 1533-position model. The record is from RNAcentral.